GGAGCAUCUUACACGGUUUUAACCCCUUUUAUCCCUGGGGUACCGUAACACCGUUUUUUUUUUUCCUUUUCUCUGUAUAACUUUUAAUCUGAAAAAUGCUGUAUUAAAAAAAAAAUGCAAUACUACAAGUAGAACACAGUUUAAAGCAGGGCUUGACAAAUUUCCUUGGAAUCUUUUUUUAAAAAAAAACUUAUAAAGCUUUGUGCUUAAGAAAAGCGCUUCCCUUUGAAAUAAAAGGGAAAGGUUCUUAAUAAUUUCAAGGUAGUCAAGCAGAAAAUGGAGCAUGUGCACGAAUUUAACAAACCAUGUGCCACUGCAGAAGCAUGGUGUUGUUCUGCAGCAACACUUUCCAGUUGGACUGUCACACAUUUCCAGUCAUUGACAAGUGCAGAGAGAGCAC
Non-coding RNA from Pelobates cultripes (western spadefoot toad), 400 nucleotides. Lineage: Eukaryota; Metazoa; Chordata; Amphibia; Anura; Pelobatidae. The record is from the annotation of a GenBank genome assembly.